RNAcentral lists this ribosomal RNA (247 nucleotides) under uncultured bacterium. Its description in RNAcentral is "partial 16S ribosomal RNA". It matches the Rfam family "Bacterial small subunit ribosomal RNA", at positions 524 to 767 of the family's 1533-position model. The record is from RNAcentral.
UACGUAGGGUGCAAGCGUUAAUCGGAAUUACUGGGCGUAAAGCGUGCGCAGGCGGUUUGUAAGUCUGUCGUGAAAUCCCCGGGCUCAACCUGGGAAUUGCGAUGGAGACUGCAAGGCUAGAAUCUGGCAGAGGGGGGGUAGAAUUCCACGGUGUAGCAGUGAAAUGACGUAGAGAUGUGGAGGAACACCGGAUGGCGAAGGCAGCCCCCUGGGUCAAGAUUGACGCUCAUGCACGAAAGCGUGGGGA